This 1287-nucleotide long non-coding RNA is filed under the name Felis catus (domestic cat). RNAcentral's name for it is "lncRNA (ENSFCAG00000051610.1)". The record is from RNAcentral. Lineage: Eukaryota; Metazoa; Chordata; Mammalia; Carnivora; Felidae.
AUGAACACUGAUGAAGACUACCCACGUGAUGAGGUACCAUACUGUUCUACAGGUAUUUCCUCAUCCCUGAAGGUGUUUGAUUCAACGGAACAACGGGAGCUCAGACAGUCAUCUUUCUUCCCCAGUGACAAGAACCAUGAUUUCAUUCCUUCCAACUUUUCAGAUCCCCUGGAAGCUAAAAGAACGCUGAUGACUGCCAAUCUGUCGCAGCACCUGCUAACAAAUGAAUCCAGAUAUUUAGAGCCAGUCUUUCGGGCCACAAGCAUCGUAUAAAUGUGCAGCACCUAUUAUAUGCGCACGUCUAGGCUAGAUUCUCUGCGGGAGACACUGGGAGAAGCAGCAGCUACAGAUACCAAGAGUUUUGUAUCUUGUUAAAUUCAAUCCAAUUAACUCAAUCAAUGAAUCAACCAGCACUUACUGGAACAUUCUACAGGCCCAGUCCCACCAAGGCGCAGCAGGAGAGACAUUUCUGCUCCGUAGGAAUUUGACACCUGAAUCAUUUCAUGGCUUCCCUACCCUUAAAAAUGGGGAACAGAAGUUAUCAUAAGGCUAUUAAUAAUAGAAGGCAGGAAUCUACCUGGAAAUGAGGAAGCAGGCCUCACCAAAAGCAGACUGGAAGGUCAGUCAUUACCUCAGGAGCUCCAGGACAAGAUUACCACAUGUUCCUCACUACCAGAGCUUGGAGGCUCUGGUCCUUAAAGAAGACAAUGCUCGCUCAUGUUUCAGUCAAGCAGAACCCUCCCGUUCAUUCGGCAUGGAGUGCCCCUGUUUAAGGGAAAGUCUGCUUUCCCCAACAAGGACCGUGGACGAGUUUGGUUUGCCCCACAAGAGGCUGCCAUAAUAGUCCUCUUUAGAAAAUGACCUUUUUCCCCUCUUUCCCACUCCCAGCUGGCGGGGGAUGGGGGGCUGCUGCGGAUUGUAGCAGGCACUGUCCAGGUCCUUGAGAAGAAGGACUUUCUGGAGGGAUGUAAGUUCCACAGAAAGUUCUAGAAAACAGGGAAAUCAUGAGGGAAAAAUGAUUUUGUGGGUCAGAAAAACAGCCCAAUGGACUAGAAAACUUGGGGGACAGUUUAUCAAAGAGGUGGGGAAGAAACUGAGCCUUGAAGAUGUGGUGACCCCAGAUAUCCAAGAAGCUGGAGACGUUCCAGGCAGACAAAACUGGUUGAGCCACGACAAGAGUCCCAAAAUGAGCUUCUCCGUAAGUAUACAACUCCCUUAAGUGCAGCAGCUGGGACUCACUAUGUCUUUUUUAAAGUUGGGAAUAAAAGAGCAAAGGGAAAGUGACCA